Molecule: microRNA precursor, 94 nt
Filed under: Canis lupus familiaris (dog)
Lineage: Eukaryota; Metazoa; Chordata; Mammalia; Carnivora; Canidae
Description: miRNA (ENSCAFG00000058459.1, ENSCAFG00845018041.1)
Source: RNAcentral
AUCACUUGGGGAUCUUGUUAAAUGGAAUCUUUGAUUCAGUAGGUCUGGGUUGGGGCCUGAGAUUCUGCAUUUCUAACAAGCUCCCAGGGGAUGC